AUUGAACGCUGGCGGCAUGCUCUACACAUGCAAGUCGAACGGCAGCGCGGGCUUCGGCCUGGCGGCGAGUGGCGAACGGGUGAGUAAUACAUCGGAACGUGCCCAGUAGUGGGGGAUAGCUCGGCGAAAGCCGGAUUAAUACCGCAUACGACCUGAGGGUGAAAGCGGGGGAUCUUCGGACCUCGCGCUAUUGGAGCGGCCGAUGGCAGAUUAGCUAGUUGGUGGGGUAAAGGCCUACCAAGGCGACGAUCUGUAGCUGGUCUGAGAGGACGACCAGCCACACUGGGACUGAGACACGGCCCAGACUCCUACGGGAGGCAGCAGUGGGGAAUUUUGGACAAUGGGCGAAAGCCUGAUCCAGCAAUGCCGCGUGUGUGAUGAAGGCCUUCGGGUUGUAAAGCACUUUUGGCGGGAACGAAAAGGACUGUGCCAAUACCACGGUUCGAUGACGGUACCCGCAGAAUAAGCACCGGCUAACUACGUG
Molecule: ribosomal RNA, 484 nt
Filed under: uncultured bacterium
Lineage: Bacteria
Description: partial 16S ribosomal RNA
Rfam family: Bacterial small subunit ribosomal RNA
Source: RNAcentral